This 3150-nucleotide long non-coding RNA is filed under the name Hordeum vulgare. RNAcentral describes it as "long non-coding RNA (HVUL_LNC003732)". Lineage: Eukaryota; Viridiplantae; Streptophyta; Magnoliopsida; Poales; Poaceae. The record is from RNAcentral.
UUUCGAUAAAGGGAAUGUAUUAAUAUCGCAAGGAUAUCAAUUACAUCUAGGCUUGACAACCACACAAUAUCCUAAUAGCAUUACGGAUGCAUACAGUAAAAAAAAAAGAAGAAGCUGAAAACGAAUAUCGCUGCUACAGAGUUUGAGUCCUUACAGUAGCAGUACAAUCGUCACCAAAACAAUACGUGAGGUUUAAGUUGUCCAAAAAUAACACCUAAAAAAAAGUACACAAACGCUCGUCGUCACCCAAUCAUAGAUUUUGAUUUUCAUCAUGUGGCAUAUGGCAUAUGGCAUAUGGCAUCAAGAUGCUAAUUUUACUCACAGACAUGUCAUCCAUCCUCAUGCAGAAUUGAUCAAAUGUGAGGUGACAUCAGAGGCGUCUUCCAGCACUAAACAAAAUUCAGCAUCCGCUCAGCAACUGCCACCAAAGGUCAACAUUGCUGUCAAUGAAUAGAUUAGAAAUCCUUGCAUAGAGGAAGGAUUUAAAAUUGCCUGCCAAUGAAAAGAACUUCUCUUUCGUUCAUUAUUGCUAUAUUGUAUAUGGGGAGGCUUCCACGGGCAAAACAACCCUACCGGAGUGUUUUUCUUAAACAAAACAACCCUAUUUUGGGCUGCAUGAUUACGAGGCGUGGAGAGAUAUUGUAUUUUCUGUCUUUACACGUAGUAGUACGCUACUGGGUCCAGUCUACCUUCUACUGGCCGGAAUCUUGCACCAGUGGCCCGGUCGCUACGUUGGCGUUCUCAAGAAAAUACUCCGUUAAGAACAACUCCCGCUUCAAUCCAUUUCAUCUACGCACGUCUGUUUGGAUUGUGGGAGAUCGAAAAAUCGUUCUAAUGCAUCGAUUCAAAUAAACGCGCGUUCGUUCUCCGUUCGCCUGUUAAUUCAUUUUCAAUCAUUUUUAGCCCGAUUUGUGUCGGCGUGGACAUAAGAUAGACGCACACGCUGAGCGCCAACUCCUCCUCCUGGUCCGCUAGUCGGUGGCAAAGCCUCCAUCAUUUUCCUUCAUUUUUUUGAAACCCUCCCACCCCCGCGCCCUCCUUGCCGCUUGCCAGGGACGACGCCCUUGAUGCCACCGCCGGCCUCGCUUCCCUCGCCUCGUGCGUCAUCACGACCGCCCCCUUCCACAAAGGUAAGCCUCAUGCCCCCCACAAGACCGUCACCGUGCCCUAGAAGAAGAAGGAGCUGACGCCCGAGGAGCAGGCUAGGGAGUCGACGAAGAGAAAGGGUUGUACCAAAUUGAAGAAGUUUCCAUCGUGAAUUUCACGAAUGCAAGAAGUUUUCACCGUAUCAAAUGCAAAGCACGCAUGGGUGGGUUUUCAUUUCAAAGCGAUGGACGGUGAUCCAGCAAGAACGCAAUAAGUUUUGUGCCUCUUAUGAGAGCAUCAAGGCACGCCCGUGAGUGGCAUCGACAUGAAAGACAUGGUAUGCAUGCAUACACCCCUCUUUGUUUGCAUGUUCAUUUGCUAAUAUGCUUACAUGUAAUUCAUUUAUAGGCAUUUCAAGCUUUUGAGGCAUUCAAGGUGCAACAUGAAGGCAAGUUCUUCAAACUUUCUCAUUGUUGGAGGAUCAUCAAAGAUGAGGAAAAGUUCAAGCUCCAAUAUGCCUCCCUCACAGUGCAUGAGGGGAAGGAAGCCGUGGAGGACGUUGGGGAGGGUGAGAAAUCACGACCAGUGUGAAAGACCAACUCGAAGAAGGAGGACAAGCGGGAUGCGUGUCGAUCGCCUUGAUCGCAACCGUGAAGGGCAUGAUGACCAAGAAGGAUUCAAGGGAGGAGAAGCGCCGGCAAGACAGUCAAGAGCAAAUGAACGGCAUCAUGGAGAUCCAAAGGAGGAGGCUUGAGAUGGAGGCGGAUAAGCAAGUCAGGAUGCUUGAGAUGGAGCCGGAGAAGCAAGCCAAGAUGCUAGAGAUCAAGGCCGUCAAUGUCAAGACCAAGGCGAAAGAAGUGGCUCUCGCUAGCAUGAUGACACGGGUGGAGAUCAUGAAGGUGGAUCUCAACACCGCGCCGCCAAGGAAGAGCCGUGGUUCGAGAAGAUGCAGGACGACAUGUUCAAGUUCGACGACGAGUGAUCUAUGAUGGCGAGCGACAUCAUUUUUUGUAUGCCAACAAGUGUGCUCGCAUGACCACGGUCGUAAUGGCAUGGUUGAACUCCUGCCAUUUUUUGUGUGUUGGCAUAUGUGCCGGCCGCUGGCAAGUGCGUCGGCAUGAACUAUGUGGUGUUUUCUAAAUUUGGCAUUGUAUGCCGGCCGCUGGCAUAGUGACAACACGAACUUUAGGCGACGCCAUGGUGGAUAACUGGAUCUACGCCUUUUUAAAUGUGUGUUCGGACAUAAAAUGGAUCGUGGAUGUUGGACGCACUGUUGGUACAAAUAUUAAAAAGGGCGGACGCUGAACGAACGACCGAUCCGGACGGACAAAAGUGAACAAGAACACCGUCCAUUUAGAUCGGCGCAUUGAAGUUGCUCAAACUUAUGAAUUUAUCACGCUGAUCAGGUUUUAGGGUAGGAUUUAUCUCUUAUAAUUCUAAGCCUCUUCCACACUGAUAAGUUUUGAAUUUUGUGUCCCAAGAAACUAAACUAGGUUUGCUGCCUGAACCAUGCUGUCCUUUUGUCAUAGAAGAGCAACGCUAUCUAAUAAUCUGAAAUGCAAAGUCAAGCAUCACGGUCACAGCGCCGAGUAUAGAUUGAAAUGGAGAGGCGACGUACGUAACAACCAUAGACCAUCAGGAUUAGUGGUUAAGAUCCAGUUUUUCUAGUACGAUGUAGAGUAGAAGAGAACAAAGAUUAAAAGGCAUGAUUAGAGAGGAGGAAACGUUCGAAAGCUAAUGUGGAUUUACGGCGCACCGUAGGUAAAGCACACGGAGUUUAACGCUCUUGACCAAUGACAUCAGGAAUCAAAUUAAGAUGCCAAAGUUUAUUCAGAGACAAAAUGAAAGCUCGAUCUGAAAGAUCCGUGGAUCCUCUAGGUUAGAUGGAUCCGGUAGGUAGUCGCGUUUUACCUUGCCCCCAACUCGAUGAGCUCCCGCCGUCGUUCAUCGUAAGGUGGUGACGACGGUGGGGAAGGAUAGAUGGGUGUGGCGUGGGUGGUGCUUCCCGUGAGCACCGCGCUAACCCUAGAUCGUAUGGGUUUGUAGGUGGAGAGUGUGGCGACG